ACCGGCACACUACAACGCCACACACGCAUCGACACCGGUUUCGGGGUGCCCUGCCCGCUUUUCAAGCGCCAGGGUCGAGGUCGGGGAUGCGUGGAGGUUCAAC
RNAcentral lists this small RNA (103 nucleotides) under Oleiagrimonas soli. Its description in RNAcentral is "t44 RNA". It matches the Rfam family "t44 RNA". From Rfam's summary of the family: This family consists of a number of bacterial RNA genes of between 135 and 170 bases in length. The t44 gene is found between the map and rpsB genes in all species in the full alignment apart from Shigella flexneri. The record is from Rfam by way of RNAcentral. Lineage: Bacteria; Pseudomonadati; Pseudomonadota; Gammaproteobacteria; Lysobacterales; Rhodanobacteraceae.